CCUACGGGUGGCUGCAGUGGGGAAUAUUGGGCAAUGGGCGCAAGCCUGACCCAGCAACGCCGCGGGAAGGAAGAAGGCUUUCGGGUUGUAAACUUCUGUUCUGAGGGACGAAGGAAGUGACGGUACCUCAGGAAUAAGCCACGGCUAACUACGUGCCAGCAGCCGCGGUAAUACGUAGGUGGCAAGCGUUAUCCGUAUUUAUUGGGUGUAAAGGGCGAGUAGGCGGGAAAGCAAGUCCGAUGUGAAAACUCAGGGCUCAACCCUGAGCCUGCAUUUGAAACUGUUUUUCUUGAGUGCUGGAGAGGCAAUCGGAAUUCCGUGUGUAGCGGUGAAAUGCGUAGAUAUACGGAGGAACACCAGUGGCGAAGGCGGAUUGCUGGACAGUAACUGACGCUGAGGCGCGAAAGCGUGGGGAGCAAACAGGAUUAGAUACCCUAGUAGUC
Molecule: ribosomal RNA, 443 nt
Filed under: uncultured bacterium
Lineage: Bacteria
Description: partial 16S ribosomal RNA
Rfam family: Bacterial small subunit ribosomal RNA
Source: RNAcentral